ACCCUAUGAUUUUGAGAUAGGUUUAUAUAAAAACUUUGGAAAGCGGUGCAAUGCCAAAUUCAAAGCCAAACAGCCUAAUUUAUUAAAAUAGAUUUCAUUCCAUCCAAAUUAAAUGAAAGGAUCCAUACGGUCUAUUAUAUUUUUUCUAAAAGCAUCUGUAAGAUUUUCCAAUAAAACCUCCUAAUUUAGAAUUUUUGACUUAAGAGUUCUCAAUCCCACCUUCCAAUCUUUUGACAUUUGGGAAAAACAUCAAAAGAGCACAUAUAUCCAAGCGUCUUUAACGCGUGUAUUAGUGUGCCAAUUUAAGGUGGAAGAGUGUGAAAAAGAAAAAAGAGUAGAAAAAAGUUCCUGAUGCAAAU
This 359-nucleotide long non-coding RNA is filed under the name Sorghum bicolor (sorghum). Its description in RNAcentral is "long non-coding RNA (SBIC_LNC018236)". The record is from RNAcentral. Lineage: Eukaryota; Viridiplantae; Streptophyta; Magnoliopsida; Poales; Poaceae.